UGAUUCAAAAACUUCGGCAUUGCAUACCUACCAACAUUGUCGAGUGCAAGAGUUCCUGCAAUCUAUAAAUUUGCAAAUAACAUAGCCUAACCAUAUAAUAUAUUUCUUACAUAAAAUUAAGCUUUGAAUCAUGGCACUCAACGCAAAAUCUUUUCUGGUGACUCUCCUCGUCAUCGCCAUGGUGCUCUCUCUGAUGCAGAUGUCAUGCGAAGCUGCUCGAGUUCAAGGUGUCGGUCGAGCGUUACUGCAAGGCGGCCCGUUUUGCCCAGCUUGUGUGUGCUGUGCCCCUGCUCCACCAAAUGGAUGCUGCCCUUGCGUUUGCCCGCCUCCGCCCGCAUGAUCACACAAACAGAGGAUCUCGAUUGAAUAAUAGAAGCUUCCAAAAUGUUUUUGGCGAGCUGAUAUGAAUAAAAAAAAUCACCCUUCAUAUUGUUGUAUUUUGAUGUGGAUUCAUCGUCUUGAAUCCCUACCUUGUUUUCCACCGUGAUGUAUCCACGUGUUUGUUACACUAUACCUUGUAAUAAAUUAAAACUUAAAUCA
Mangifera indica (mango) is the source of this 540-nucleotide long non-coding RNA. RefSeq lists it as uncharacterized. The transcript has 2 exons. The record is from RefSeq and is a predicted model, not a curated record. Lineage: Eukaryota; Viridiplantae; Streptophyta; Magnoliopsida; Sapindales; Anacardiaceae.